This 253-nucleotide ribosomal RNA is filed under the name uncultured bacterium. Its description in RNAcentral is "partial 16S ribosomal RNA". It matches the Rfam family "Bacterial small subunit ribosomal RNA", at positions 524 to 776 of the family's 1533-position model. The record is from RNAcentral.
UACGGAGGGUGCAAGCGUUAUCCGGAUUUACUGGGUUUAAAGGGUGCGUAGGUGGACUAGUAAGUCAGUGGUGAAAGCCCAUCGCUCAACGGUGGAACGGCCAUUGAUACUGCUGAACUUGAAUUAUUAGGAAGUAACUAGAAUAUGUAGUGUAGCGGUGAAAUGCUUAGAGAUUACAUGGAAUACCAAUUGCGAAGGCAGGUUACUACUAAUGGAUUGACGCUGAUGGACGAAAGCGUGGGUAGCGAACAGG